Non-coding RNA from Salvia hispanica, 251 nucleotides. The record is from RefSeq and is a predicted model, not a curated record. NCBI's taxonomy places the organism in Eukaryota, Viridiplantae, Streptophyta, Magnoliopsida, Lamiales, Lamiaceae.
GGAUUCUUUAUCGUCUGCUAGCGAAAAAUCGAGUUCGAAUGUGGAUCAAGGGAGCAUUAGAUCCUCUGCUGAUGAGGGCAUCAAGCAAAGAAAUGGCUUGUUUGAGGAUUCUUUGUCAUCUGCUAGUGAUCAGCACUCAAGUUUAAUUAAGAUCAGCAGAGUGGUGUGUGCUGUCAUAGCUUUAGAUCUUGUGCUGAUGAUUCCAACAGCCAAGUAGAUGAUUCCAUGGCUCUAGUUGUGGUUGAUACGCC